UCGAGCGAACCCGCAAGGGUUAGCGGCAAAAGGGUGAGUAACACGUAAGUAAUUUCCUUAAAGUCGGGGAUAGCACCGUGAAAAUGGUGGUAAUACCCGAUGUUAUCGGUGAUCCGCAUGGAUUACCGAUCAAAGACGGGGAUCCUUCGGGACCUGUCGCUUUUUGAUGAGCUUGCGUACCAUCAGCUAGUUGGUAGGGUAACGGCCUACCAAGGCUAAGACGGUUAGCUGGUCUGAGAGGACGACCAGCCACAUUGGGACUGAGACACUGCCCAGACUCCUACGGGAGGCCGCAGUCGAGAAUAUUUAGCAAUGGGCGAAAGCCUGACUAUGCGACGCCGCGUGCAGGAUGAAGGUCUUCGGAUUGUAAACUGCUUUUGUUAGGGGAGAAACCUGUAUGGUUAAUAGCCAUACAGCUGACGGUACCUGACGAAUAAGCCACGGCAAACCCUGUGCCAGCAGCCGCGGUAAUACAGGGGUGGCAAGCGUUACUCGGAAUUAUUGGGUGUAAAGGGCAGGUAGGUGGCUCUAUAAGUGAGGGGUGAAAUCCUGCGGUUCAAUCGCAGAACAGCCUUUCAAACUGCAGAGCUUGAGUGUGACAGAGGAAGAUGGAAUUCCUGGUGUAAGGGUGAAAUNUGUAGAUAUCAGGAAGAACACCAACGGCGAAGGCAAUCUUCUGGGUCACUACUGACACUGAGCUGCGAAAGCUAGGGGAGCAAACAGAAUUAGAUACUCUGGUAGUCCUAGCCGUAAACGAUGGAUACUAGGUGUUGGUCCUUUCGGGGAUCAGCGCCGAAGCUAACGCAUUAAGUAUUCCACCUGGGGACUACGGUCGCAAGGCUAAAACUCAAAGAAAUUGACGGGGGCUCACACAAGCGGUGG
RNAcentral lists this ribosomal RNA (882 nucleotides) under uncultured bacterium. Its description in RNAcentral is "bacterial SSU rRNA". It matches the Rfam family "Bacterial small subunit ribosomal RNA", at positions 62 to 935 of the family's 1533-position model. The record is from RNAcentral.